Callithrix jacchus (white-tufted-ear marmoset) is the source of this 2657-nucleotide non-coding RNA. Lineage: Eukaryota; Metazoa; Chordata; Mammalia; Primates; Cebidae. The record is from RefSeq and is a predicted model, not a curated record.
AUGCAGCGGCGGGGACCUUGGCCGGUGGAGGAUGCGGAGGUGGAAGUGGAGCGGAUGGUGCUCCCCAGGAGCUCCGCCACGCGAGGUUUCGGGCUCGCGGUUUUGCUUCCUCCGGGUCCCCGCUCCAGAGCAGCUCGGCGAGAUGAAGACGCCGGGGACAGCGCCGCGGGGAGGGCGCUCCGGGCCGUAAGCGCUGCACCCACAAAGAGCAGCAGUCCCGCCGCCCCGCGCCUCCGCUGCGUGGGGGCCGAGGGCCGCUUCUGGGCUCCCCUUUCCGGUCCCCCGGCGAGUUGGAGAUUGUUCUCCGGCCUCGGCCGCAAGGGGGUGAGGCGAGGGGCCGGCGCGGCCGCUCCCGCCGCGGCUCCGUCCCGCGCAGCUGCCACAGCAGCCGCCCCUACUGCCCGCGCACCGGCACCCGCCCGCCGGUCCUCGCCCUGCGCCGCACACUCGCGCGCGCCGCCCUCCGUCGUCGACCGCGCACCCCGUUCGGCCUCCGCUGCGCGACCUGGGCGAGCCGCCGCCGCUCUCGCCGCACGCGCUGCCUGGCUGCGCGGCCCGCUCCCCUCUCCUAUCUCUCCCGCCGCCGCCGCCCUCGUCUCCCGCCCCCGCCUCCCUCCGCCGCCGAGCUUCCCCGCCCGCGUCGCGGCCAAUCGGAGGCCACCAAGCUGCGGCUGUAGCCGGCCGGAUCCGCGGCAGCCGCCCGCCCCCGCCCCGCCGAAGCGCCCGUCGGAGUUUCACUCUUGUUACCCAGGCUGGAGUGCAAUGGCGCUCACCACAACCUCCGCCUCCUGGGUUCAGGCAAUUCUCCUGCCUCAGCCUCCUGAGUAGCUGGGAUUACAGACUGGCAACUUGACAAGCCUUUGGUCCAGUGUGGACAUGCUUGGAGCAAAGAAGACUGAAGGACAAGUAUGCGCCAUCCUUUCGUAGCUCUUUGGGAGGCCAGAAUGUGACUAUCAUGGAGCCCUUCGAUUUUAACAGAGAUCCUUUCUCUAUAACUAAUUCAACGCAUGGCUAUAUGGGUAAUUUUGAACAAGUGGAUCUUUCUCCAACCUGAAAGGCUGCCAGGACAAAGAGGGAGUGAGAAAAAGAGGGUAUCAAAAGGAGUCAUAGAGAACCACAAAAUAAUCACGAAGCAUUUCUGUAUUGCCACAAUCUCCUUACAGAAGUGCAUUGAGAGGUGGUGAUAUGGAACAGAGAGGACACAUCAUUGCAAUAAAAUACUCCAUAAUACCUGGGACAAGAGUUGGAAAUGAUUUUGUCAUCAAAUAGAACACCAAAACUGUAGGAAGUAGGACUAUGUCUGCUGGUAAGGAAUUUUUCAAGAAUUAUUAUAGCUCCCCUCAUUUUUCAAAUAUUCACAUCGCAGUGUAAUAUGAAAUAUUAGAAAUAUAAGACUAAAAAUAUAAAGUAGAAACUGCCAUUUCAACUGUUAUAUAUCACAUUUAAUGAAAAAAGCCUUUCAGUCAAAUAUUGUACAAGUGCAUAAAUUAUGAUUAGUUACUGUGAAUUUAGAUAUGACUAUUUUAUUGAAUCCAAUGUGUCAGAAUAACUUAUUAAAGAGGGCUCAAUCUAUCAGACCUGUGAAAUCCUCACAAAUGGAAUAUAUUCUGAGUUAUAGCAUAGUAGUAAUACUGCAGUAAGUGGAAGGAAGUUUUGAUUUUGCAAAUGGCAAUGGAAAUCCUUUCAUAGUACCCAUUAAAUGAAAACAAUCUCAAUAAAUUAAAACAGUUUAAAAUAUGUAGUAUAUCUGUUAAGUUUCAGUUAAUAAGAAAACCAAACAAGUAAUAACUGGGAAUAUGGCAAGGAGUGAUUCCUGGGAGUAAAAUAGAAACCUUAUUUAUGACAGGGCCAUGUGAGACACAGGGUAACUUGUUUCUGAGUCCAGACAUGUGGUUCUACAUUGCUUAAAUAUUCCUUAUCAGAGAGAAAAUUGAUACUAGAUCCUGGAGCCUGGCUGAGCCCACAAAUGGGGAUCCAGUGGGGGUACAUUGCCAGGAGAUGGACUUCUAUGGCAAAAGCUCUACUAAUUUAAUAUGUGUCUCUUUAUGAUGUCAGUUAGGCUGUGUCAUGGGAGUAAGUGAUAUGUUAGAAAUAAGGUUUAAUACAAGAGGCAAGACCAGGUCUGGGAUGGUUUGGAAUUCAUUAAUUCAUUUUCAAGCUUUGUACAUAUAGAUGAAAAUAUGGAUUUUAGAGUAAAAAAUUAUCUACACAUUAAGUUGAAAAGAGACACCUAUUGAAAGAACCCAAAGAGGAAAAUCAUGUUAGAGGGGCAUUUUAUGAGAAUUUUUUAGUUGUAGAAUGAUUUUGGUGAUUAGAAUUAGGGAGUACACUCAGAAAACUUAUGGUGUUUCCCAUUCAGGUGUGGCAUGAUAAUAUCUUGAAAUUUUAACUAAUGUGUUUGCUUUUCUACACAUCCUUCUUCGUCUUUCUCUAUUCAGUCAGAGGUUUUCAGGAAAAUUAGGAUGAUUAAGACAGGAUUGCAAAGAACCAGUCAAUGAUAAAUUUUUGAGAUGUAAAACAGAUUUUGAAACUUGUUAAGAGUCAGUAUUCUUAAAAGUUAAUGGGGUUUCAAUGACAAACAUGGUUAUUCUUAGAGAGAAAAAAAGAUUUACACAAAUAUGCAGGGGCCUUUUCAAAAGUGGUAGGUUUACAAGUCU